UACGUAGGGGGCUAGCGUUGUCCGGAAUCAUUGGGCGUAAAGCGCGUGUAGGCGGUCCGGUAAGUCCGCUGUGAAAGUCGGGGGCUCAACCCUCGAAUGCCGGUGGAUACUGUCGGGCUAGAGUGCGGAAGAGGCGAGUGGAAUUCCUGGUGUAGCGGUGAAAUGCGCAGAUAUCAGGAGGAACACCAAGUGCGAAGGCAGCUCGCUGGGACGUUACUGACGCUGAGACGCGAAAGCGUGGGGAGCAAACAGG
RNAcentral lists this ribosomal RNA (253 nucleotides) under uncultured bacterium. Its description in RNAcentral is "partial 16S ribosomal RNA". It matches the Rfam family "Bacterial small subunit ribosomal RNA", at positions 524 to 776 of the family's 1533-position model. The record is from RNAcentral.